UGUGUAGGCGGUUGUUUAAGUUUGGUGUGAAAUCUCCCGGCUUAACUGGGAGGGUGCGCCGAAUACUGAAUGACUAGAGUGCGGGAGAGGAGAGUGGAAUUCCUGGUGUAGCGGUGAAAUGCGUAGAUAUCAGGAGGAACACCGGCGGUGUAGACGGCUCUCUGGACCGUAACUGACGCUGAAACACGAAAGCGUGGGUAGCAAACAGGGAUUAGAUACCCUGGUAGUCCACGCCCUAAACGAUGCAUAUUUGGUGUGGGUCAUUCAGUUGGUCCGUGCCGGAGCUAACGCGUUAAAUAUGCCGCCUGGGGAGUACAGUCGCAAGGCUGAA
Molecule: ribosomal RNA, 331 nt
Filed under: uncultured bacterium
Lineage: Bacteria
Description: bacterial SSU rRNA
Rfam family: Bacterial small subunit ribosomal RNA
Source: RNAcentral